AAUAGAUACCCGGGUAGUCCACGCCGUAAAACGAUGUCGACUUGGAGGUUGUUCCCCUUGAGGAGUGGCGUUCCGGAGCUAACGCGUUAAGUCGACCGCCUGGGGAGUACGGCCGCAAGGUUAAAACUCAAAUGAAUUGACGGGGGCCCGCACAAGCGGUGGAGCAUGUGGUUUAAUUCGAUGCAACGCGAAGAACCUUACCUACUCUUGACAUCCAGAGAACUUAGUAGAGAUGCUUUGGUGCCUUCGGGAACUCUGAGACAGGUGCUGCAUGGCUGUCGUCAGCUCGUGUCGUGAAAUGUUGGGUUAAGUCCCGCAACGAGCGCAACCCUUAUCCUUUGUUGCCAGCGGUUCGGCCGGGAACUCAAAGGAGACUGCCAGUGAUAAACUGGAGGAAGGUGGGGAUGACGUCAAGUCAUCAUGGCCCUUACGAGUAGGGCUACACACGUGCUACAAUGGCGUAUACAAAGAGAAGCGACCUCGCGAGAGCAAGCGGACCUCAUAAAGUACGUCGUAGUCCGGAUUGGAGUCUGCAACUCGACUCC
This 545-nucleotide ribosomal RNA is filed under the name uncultured bacterium. RNAcentral describes it as "bacterial SSU rRNA". It matches the Rfam family "Bacterial small subunit ribosomal RNA", at positions 777 to 1319 of the family's 1533-position model. The record is from RNAcentral.